RNAcentral lists this transfer RNA (96 nucleotides) under Micromonospora parathelypteridis. Its description in RNAcentral is "tRNA-Pro". Lineage: Bacteria; Bacillati; Actinomycetota; Actinomycetes; Micromonosporales; Micromonosporaceae. The record is from RNAcentral.
UCUCGGACUGGUGGACGGUGCCGCUGGUCCUGCUCGGAGUGGGGGUGACGCUCUGCGCGGCCAACGCUCUGGUGAUCAUCUCGCUGUUCGACUUCC